CAAAGAUUAAGCCAUGCAUGUCUAAGUUUAAACGAUUAAUCGUGAAACCGCGAACGGCUCAUUACAACAGCUAUGAUUUACUUGAUCUUGACCUAUACUACAUGGAUAACUGUGGUAAUUCUAGAGCUAAUACAUGCACCUAAGCUCUUACCUUACGGAAAGAGUGCAUUUAUUAGAACAAAACCAGGCGGCUUGCCGUGUUUUGUUGACUCAAAAUAACUCAGCUGAUCGCAUGGUCUUGUACCGGCGAUGUGUCAUUCAAGUAUCUGCCUUAUCAACUUUCGACGGUAGUGUAUUGGACUACCGUGGUGGUGACGGGUAACGGAGGAUAAGGGUUUGACUCCGGAGAAGGGGCCUGAGAAAUGGCCACUACGUCUAAGGAUGGCAGCAGGCGCGCAAAUUACCCACUCUCAGAAUGAGGAGGUAGUGACGAGAAAUAACGAGACCGUUCUUUUUAAGGCCGGUCAUCGGAAUGGGUACAAUUUAAACCCUUUGACGAGUAUCUAUGAGAGGGCAAGUCUGGUGCCAGCAGCCGCGGUAAUUCCAGCUCUCAAAAUGCAUAGACUUAUUGCUGCGGUUAAAAAGCUCGUAGUUGGAUUUGUGACAGAGAUGCGGUCCACCUACGGGUGUGCACUGUACUCUUUGGCUUAUCUGUUGGUCUUCCCCUCGUGGCUUUAAUCGGCUGCGGGGGGUGGCUGGCAAUUUUACUUUGAACAAAUCAGAGUGCUCAAAACAAGCGUUUCGCUUGAAUGCUUUUGCAUGGAAUAAUAGAAGAGGAUUUCGGUCUACUUUUAUUGGUUUUACUGACUGAAAUAAUGGUUAACAGAGACAAACGGGGGCAUUUGUAUCGUUGCGUGAGAGGUGAAAUUCUUGGACCGCAGCGAGACAAUCUAAAGCGAAAGCAUUUGCCAAGAAUGUCUUCAUUAAUCAAGAACGAAAGUCAGAGGUUCGAAGGCGAUCAGAUACCGCCCUAGUUCUGACCGUAAACAAUGCCAACUAGCGAUCUGCCGGCGGAAUUCUGCCUUGGCAGGGAGCUUCCCGGAAACGAAAGUCUUCCGGUUCCGGGGGAAGUAUGGUUGCAAAGCUGAAACUUAAAGGAAUUGACGGAAGGGCACCACCAGGAGUGGAGCCUGCGGCUUAAUUUGACUCAACACGGGAAAACUCACCCGGCCCGGACACUAUAAGGAUUGACAGAUUGAUAGCUUUUUCAUGAUUUGGUGGAUGGUGGUGCAUGGCCGUUCUUAGUUCGUGGAGCGAUUUGUCUGGUUUAUUCCGAUAACGAGCGAGACUCUAGCCUAUUAACUAGUCUGCACAUUGCUUGUUUGUUGCAGUACUUCUUAGAGGGAUUUUCGGUGUACAGCCGCACGAGAUUGAGCAAUAACAGGUCUGUGAUGCCCUUAGAUGUCCGGGGCUGCACGCGCGCUACACUGGUAAAGUCAGCGUGCUUGUCCUUUCCUGAAAGGGAUUGGUAAACCAAUCAAAUUUUGCCGUGAUUGGGAUCGGAAAUUGCAAUUAUUUUCCGUAAACGAGGAAUUCCAAGUAAAUGCGAGUCAUUAACUCGCGUUGAUUACGUCCCUGCCCUUUGUACACACCGCCCGUCGCUGCCCGGGACUGAGCCAUUUCGAGAAAUUUGGGGAUUGCUGGUUGGUUGUCUUUCGGGAUGACCUUCUGGUGAGAACCAACUUAAUCGCAGUGGCUUGAACCGGGCAAAAGUCGUAACAAGGUAGCUGUAGGUGAACCUG
RNAcentral lists this ribosomal RNA (1742 nucleotides) under Ditylenchus angustus. RNAcentral's name for it is "SSU rRNA". It matches the Rfam family "Eukaryotic small subunit ribosomal RNA". The record is from RNAcentral. Lineage: Eukaryota; Metazoa; Nematoda; Chromadorea; Rhabditida; Anguinidae.